GACGAACGCUGGCGGCGUGCCUAAUACAUGCAAGUAGAACGCACAGUUUAUACCGUAGCUUGCUACACCAUAAACUGUGAGUUGCGAACGGGUGAGUAACGCGUAGGUAACCUGCCUGGUAGCGGGGGAUAACUAUUGGAAACGAUAGCUAAUACCGCAUAAUAUUAAUUAUUGCAUGAUAAUUGAUUGAAAGAUGCAAUUGCAUCACUACCAGAUGGACCUGCGUUGUAUUAGCUAGUAGGUGAGGUAACGGCUCACCUAGGCGACGAUACAUAGCCGACCUGAGAGGGUGAUCGGCCACACUGGGACUGAGACACGGCCCAGACUCCUACGGGAGGCAGCAGUAGGGAAUCUUCGGCAAUGGACGAAAGUCUGACCGAGCAACGCCGCGUGAGUGAAGAAGGUUUUCGGAUCGUAAAGCUCUGUUGUAAGAUAAGAACGGGUGUGAGAGUGGAAAGUUCACACUGUGACGGUAUCUUACCAGAAAGGGACGGCUAACUACGUG
This 505-nucleotide ribosomal RNA is filed under the name uncultured bacterium. RNAcentral's name for it is "partial 16S ribosomal RNA". It matches the Rfam family "Bacterial small subunit ribosomal RNA", at positions 28 to 507 of the family's 1533-position model. The record is from RNAcentral.